CCGCGUGGGUUGAAGAAGGUCUUACGGAUUGUAAAGCCCUUUCGGGCGGGGACGAUGAUGACGGUACCCGCAGAAGAAGCCCCGGCUAACUUCGUGC
This 97-nucleotide ribosomal RNA is filed under the name uncultured bacterium. Its description in RNAcentral is "partial 16S ribosomal RNA". The record is from RNAcentral.